GAUGAACGCUGGCGGCGUGCCUAAUACAUGCAAGUCGAGCGAACGGACGAGAAGCUUGCUUCUCUGAUGUUAGCGGCGGACGGGUGAGUAACACGUGGAUAACCUACCUAUAAGACUGGGAUAACUUCGGGAAACCGGAGCUAAUACCGGAUGAUAUUUUGAACCGCAUGGUUCAAAAGUGAAAGACGGUCUUGCUGUCACUUAUAGAUGGAUCCGCGCUGCAUUAGCUAGUUGGUAAGGUAACGGCUUACCAAGGCAACGAUGCAUAGCCGACCUGAGAGGGUGAUCGGCCACACUGGAACUGAGACACGGUCCAGACUCCUACGGGAGGCAGCAGUAGGGAAUGUUCCGCAAUGGGCGAAAGCCUGACGGAGCAACGCCGCGUGAGUGAUGAAGGUCUUCGGAUCGUAAAACUCUGUUAUUAGGGAAGAACAUAUGUGUAAGUAACUGUGCACAUCUUGACGGUACCUAAUCAGAAAGCCACGGCUAACUACGUG
RNAcentral lists this ribosomal RNA (497 nucleotides) under uncultured bacterium. RNAcentral describes it as "partial 16S ribosomal RNA". It matches the Rfam family "Bacterial small subunit ribosomal RNA", at positions 28 to 507 of the family's 1533-position model. The record is from RNAcentral.